RNAcentral lists this long non-coding RNA (1172 nucleotides) under Anser brachyrhynchus (Pink-footed goose). RNAcentral's name for it is "lncRNA (ENSABRG00000004064.1)". Lineage: Eukaryota; Metazoa; Chordata; Aves; Anseriformes; Anatidae. The record is from RNAcentral.
GUCAGAUCCUGUUUCAUCUCCAAGCCCUAAUGAAAUGAACUCUGCCCUAGGAGUCACCCUUGCAGAUAUCAGCUUCAGCUGAGCUGAUCACCAUAAGGCUUUCUUCACAGCCAAUGCAAGAAGCAGCGUUGCAAGGUGAGAUUCAUCUGACCUAUUCUGAUUGUCUACUUGAGGGUGAGAAGAAUUGCACCCUGAAGUCUGUUGAGCAUUAACUGCUUUGCCAUUGACUCUGAAGGAGGCUAGGAUGGCUAUCUCAAGUGUGUUUACAUUGGAGAUAAGCAUCGUUGAUCAUAUGAAUCUCACUGAGUGUGACUGAGCACAGAGCAGCCUGGAGCAGUGCAGGGCAGCUGAUCUAUCAUUUUGCUAUUGGUUUCUUGGGACACCCACUUUGCAUUAUGUCUGAAUCAAGUUGCAGAAUCCCUUCUGUGCCCAAGGCGAUGCACAAGGAGGAGACACAAAUUCUCCAGUAGUGUUGCACAGGAGGCUGUAUAUUGAGAUUUACCCUAGAGACCACUAAUCCUGAGAGUCUGCAAUGAGAGUGAGCAGCUAUCUGUAUCCUACUUAUGCACCAAGGAUGGUUAAGUCAGCCAGACACCCCCCCGCCCUGGAAAGCUACAGUUAUUUUGAUACUUACUUUGAACUGUCAAGAGAGUUUACAGCGAAUGCAUACCAUUUGUGUAAUUAAUUUAGCAUAUGUCUCUUAAUCCAUGUAAAUAAUAAUAAUCUCAAAUUUGUGUUCCUGUAUUUCAUUUUAAAGUAUUCAUGAAUUUUGCUCAUAUCAUUCCUAAGGGCCAAAGUGUACUGGAGUGACAAUGCACUUUACAAAUGUCACCUGGUGAGUGUACUAGAGAGGACAUUGGAAUGAUUUGUAUCAACUUCUGUGGGUUUUGGACAUGCUUCUUUGUUCAUAUCUGCAUAGGGUAUCUCUAAGGUCAUAAAACACUUGAUAUUCAGACAGCUAAGUACCUAUUUUGAAAUUAUGGUAAAUAUAUUUACAAAUGUAGGCAGAAGUAACAUUUCAUACAAACAGCCAUAGUCCCACCUGAAGUGAUGUAUCUGCAACAUUAUUUUGACUAAUGCAUCUCCACCAUGUGUAGUUUUACAUUAUAUAAUACGACAGGAGCCUCUUGGCUGAUUAGAGUAGUUGUAGUAAUUGUAACACAAAAAAGUAA